UACGUAGGGGGCGAGCGUUGUCCGGAAUUACUGGGCGUAAAGGGUGCGUAGGCGGAUAUGCAAGUCCGAUGUGAAAUGUUACGGCUUAACCGUGGAGUUGCAUUGGAAACUGUGUAUCUAGAGUACAGGAGAGGGAAGCGGAAUUCCUAGUGUAGCGGUGAAAUGCGUAGAUAUUAGGAGGAACACCAGUGGCGAAGGCGGCUUCCUGGACUGACACUGACGCUGAGGCACGAAAGCUGGGGCAGCGAACAGGAUUAGAUACC
Molecule: ribosomal RNA, 263 nt
Filed under: uncultured bacterium
Lineage: Bacteria
Description: partial 16S ribosomal RNA
Rfam family: Bacterial small subunit ribosomal RNA
Source: RNAcentral